GGCCAUGGCUCAAUGUUUGAGCAUCUGCUUUGCACACAGAAGGUCCCAGGUUCAAUUUCUGGCAUCUCCA
Molecule: non-coding RNA, 70 nt
Organism: Podarcis lilfordi (Lilford's wall lizard)
Lineage: Eukaryota; Metazoa; Chordata; Lepidosauria; Squamata; Lacertidae
Source: the annotation of a GenBank genome assembly